AAGUCGUAACAAGGUCUCCGUAGGUGAACCUGCGGAGGGAUCAUUACCGAGUGGAGGGGCGCAAGCCCCGACCUCCCACCCUUUGUUAAUCAAACCUCGUUGCUUCGGGGGUGACCUAUUCACUUAGGGCCCCCGGAGGACCAUCAACUCUGCAUCAAUGCGUCGGAGUCAAAAUUAAAUUAAAUCAAAA
RNAcentral lists this unclassified non-coding RNA (190 nucleotides) under plant metagenome. RNAcentral describes it as "partial contains small subunit ribosomal RNA and internal transcribed spacer 1". The stretch from base 1 to 46 matches the Rfam family "Eukaryotic small subunit ribosomal RNA", at positions 1786 to 1831 of the family's 1831-position model. The record is from RNAcentral.